This is a long non-coding RNA of Olea europaea var. sylvestris, 92 nucleotides long. RefSeq lists it as uncharacterized. The transcript is spliced from 3 exons. The record is from RefSeq and is a predicted model, not a curated record. NCBI's taxonomy places the organism in Eukaryota, Viridiplantae, Streptophyta, Magnoliopsida, Lamiales, Oleaceae.
UGUCACGGACCUAAUUUCGUUACACCCGAACAACUAGAACCGUGCGGCCUUAACGCUUGACAAUUCCCGCACCUCACGAGAAAACGUUAAGU